UUAGGAAUCUUCCACAAUGGGCGAAAGCCUGAUGGAGCGACGCCGCGUGAGGGAUGAAGGCCUUAGGGUUGUAAACCUCUAAAAGAGGGACGAUAAUGACGGUACCUCUUGAAUAGCACCGGCUAACUCCGUGCCAGCAGCCGCGGUAAUACGGAGGGUGCAAGCGUUAUCCGGAAUCACUGGGCGUAAAGGGCGCGUAGGCGGUCUGUUAAGUCCGAUGUUAAAUCCCGGGGCUCAACCCCGGAUAAGCGUUGGAUACUGGCAGGCUAGACGGUUGGAGAGGCGAGUGGAAUUACCAGUGUAGCGGUGGAAUGCGUAGAUACUGGUAGGAACACACAUCGCGAAGGCAGCUCGCUGGACAACACGUGACGCUGAGGCGCGAAAGUGUGGGGGGCAAAC
RNAcentral lists this ribosomal RNA (399 nucleotides) under uncultured bacterium. Its description in RNAcentral is "bacterial SSU rRNA". It matches the Rfam family "Bacterial small subunit ribosomal RNA", at positions 355 to 773 of the family's 1533-position model. The record is from RNAcentral.